Molecule: ribosomal RNA, 253 nt
Filed under: uncultured bacterium
Lineage: Bacteria
Description: partial 16S ribosomal RNA
Rfam family: Bacterial small subunit ribosomal RNA
Source: RNAcentral
UACGGAGGUGGCGAGCGUUGUUCGGAAUUACUGGGCGUAAAGGGCGCGUAGGCGGGGAGGUAAGUCGGGUGUGAAAUCCCUCGGCCCAACCGAGGAACCGCGCCCGAGACUGCCCUUCUUGAGUCCCGGAGAGGAAGGUGGAAUUCCCGGUGUAGCGGUGAAAUGUGUAGAGAUCGGGAGGAACACCGGUGGCGAAGGCGGCCUUCUGGACGGUGACUGACGCUGAGGCGCGAAAGCGUGGGGAGCAAACGGG